Molecule: ribosomal RNA, 1738 nt
Filed under: uncultured eukaryote
Lineage: Eukaryota
Description: partial small subunit ribosomal RNA
Rfam family: Eukaryotic small subunit ribosomal RNA
Source: RNAcentral
AAAUCCUGACUAGUAAUGGAAAGGAUGGAUUUAUUACAUACAAAAACCAAUGCAUUAAAUUGUUAAAGAUUCGGGGGGGCUUUAUUGGUGAUUCAUAAUAACUUUACGGAUCGUGCGGCCUUGUGCCGGCGAUAAUUCAUUCAAAUUUCUGCCCUAUCAACUUUCGAUGGUAGUAUAGAGGACUACCAUGGUGGUAACGGGUAACGGAGAAUCAGGGUUUGAUUCCGGAGAAGGAGCCUGAGAAACGGCUACUACUUCUAAGGAAGGCAGCAGGCGCGCAAAUUACCCAAUCCCGACACGGGGAGGUAGUGACAAAAAAUAACAAUAUCGAUAAUUAAUUUUAUUGAUAAUUGGAAUGAGUACAAUCUAAAUCCCUUAACGAGUAACAAUUGGAGGGCAAGUCUGGUGCCAGCAGCCGCGGUAAUUCCAGCUCCAAUAGCAUAUAUUAAAGUUGUUGCAGUUAAAAAGCUCGUAGUUGGAUUUUAAAGUUUUAUUUUUUACACCAUAAUUUUUAAUUAUGUGUUUGUGAUUUAGAUUCUUUACAAUUUUGUCAGAUAUUCAUUGUUGUUCUUAAUUGGAUGAUUCGAAAGGAUAAAAUGCUUAAUAGGUCUGGGAAUUAAGAUGUGGUUUAUUUACGAGGCAACUUGUUGAAUAAAUCUGCUUAAUUAACUUCUAUUAAGUAGAAUUCUAGUUCAUUUACUUUGAGUAAAUUAGAGUGUUCAAAGCAAACAAGCAUUGUUGUUAUGAAUACUAUUAGCAUGAGAUAAUGGAACAGGACAUCGUGUCUAUUUUAUUGGUUUCCAGACGCGAUGUAAUGAUUAAAAGGGAUAGUUGGGGGCAUUAGUAUUUAAUUGUCAGAGGUGAAAUUCUUGGAUUUAUGAAAGACUAACUUCUGCGAAAGCAUUUGUCAAAGAUGUUUUCAUUAAUCAAGAACGAAAGUUAGGGGAUCGAAGACGAUCAGAUACCGUCGUAGUCUUAACCAUAAACUAUGCCGACCAAGUAGUGGAACGCUCUAUUUUUGGGCAUUACUCUCUCAGCACCUUUUUACGAGAAAUCAUAAGUUUUUGGGUUCUGGGGGGAGUAUGGUCGCAAGGCUGAAACUUAAAGGAAUUGACGGAAGGGCACCACCAGGAGUGGAGCCUGCGGCUUAAUUUGACCCAACACGGGAAAACUUACCAGGUCCAGACACAGUUAGGAUUGACAGAUUGAGAGCUCUUUCUUGAUUCUGUGGGUGGUGGUGCAUGGCCGUUCUUAGUUGGUGGAGUGAUUUGUCUGGUUAAUUCCGAUAACGAACGAGACCUCAGCCUGCUAAUUAGUUGUAUUAAUAAUAACGAUUAGAGGGACUUCAUUUUCGGUUAGGAAACUUGUUUUUAUUGAUAUCAGGUGCUGGUCAAACAGUAUUUUUACUUCUUAGAGGGACACUUGGUGUUUAACCAAGGGAAGUUUGAGGCAAUAACAGGUCUGUGAUGCCCUUUAGAUGUUCUGGGCUGCACGCGCGCUACACUGAUACGAUCAACAAGCACAAAAGACCUCAUCCGAAAGGUUUGGGUAAACUUUUGAAAUCGUAUCGUGCUGGGGAUCGAUAAUUGCAAUUAUUUAUCGUGAACGAGGAAUUCCUAGUAGGUGCAAGUCAACAGCUUGCGCCGAUUACGUCCCUGCCCUUUGUACACACCGCCCGUCGCUGCCUCUGAUGGUUGGUCCGGUGAAAUCUUAGGAUUCGAGACAGUCACUUAAACGU